GCGAACGCUGGCGGCAGGCUUAACACAUGCAAGUCGAGCGGGCCCUUCGGGGUCAGCGGCAGACGGGUGAGUAACACGUGGGAACGUACCCUUUGGUUCGGAAUAACGCUGGGAAACUAGCGCUAAUACCGGAUACGCCCUUUUGGGGAAAGGCUUGCUGCCGAAGGAUCGGCCCGCGUCUGAUUAGCUAGUUGGUGGGGUAAUGGCCUACCAAGGCGACGAUCAGUAGCUGGUCUGAGAGGAUGAUCAGCCACACUGGGACUGAGACACGGCCCAGACUCCUACGGGAGGCAGCAGUGGGGAAUAUUGGACAAUGGGCGCAAGCCUGAUCCAGCCAUGCCGCGUGAGUGAUGAAGGCCUUAGGGUUGUAAAGCUCUUUUGUCCGGGACGAUAAUGACGGUACCGGAAGAAUAAGCCCCGGCUAACUUCGU
This 431-nucleotide ribosomal RNA is filed under the name uncultured bacterium. RNAcentral describes it as "bacterial SSU rRNA". It matches the Rfam family "Bacterial small subunit ribosomal RNA", at positions 29 to 506 of the family's 1533-position model. The record is from RNAcentral.